UGCAGAAUUCAGUGAAUCAUCGAAUCUUUGAACGCACAUUGCGCCCGCCGGCACUCCGGCGGGCAUGCCUGUCCGAGCGUCAUUUCAACCCUCAGGCCCUCCCUUCCGGGGGACGGGCCUGGUGUUGGGGCUCGGGGUCCGCAAGGCCCCCGUCCCCUAAAAUCAUUGGCGGUCGCGCUGUAAUCCCCUGCGUAGUAACACACCUCGCUCUGGAGACCAGCACGUCCACGCCGUAAAACCCCCAAUUUACCAAGGUUGACCUCGGAUCAGGUAGGAAUACCCGCUGAACUUAAGCAUAUCAAUAAGCGGAGGAAAAGAAACCAACAGGGAUUGCCUCAGUAACGGCGAGUGAAGCGGCAACAGCUCAAAUUUGAAAUCUGGCCGCAAGGUCCGAGUUGUAAUUUGCAGAGGAUGCUUUUGGUGAGGUUCCUUCCGAGUUCCCUGGAACGGGACGCCAUAGAGGGUGAGAGCCCCGUACGGUAGUGAACCGAGCCCCUGUAAAGCUCCUUCGACGAGUCGAGUAGUUUGGGAAUGCUGCUCUAAAUGGGAGGUGUACGUCUUCUAAAGCUAAAUACCGGCCAGAGACCGAUAGCGCACAAGUAGAGUGAUCGAAAGAUGAAAAGCACUUUGAAAAGAGGGUUAAAAAGUACGUGAAAUUGUUGAAAGGGAAGCAUUUAUGACCAGACUUGGGCUUGGUUGAACAUCCGGCGUUCUCGCCGGUGCACUCUGCCAGUCCAGGCCAGCAUCAGUUUGCCCCGGGGGACAAAGGUGGCGGGAAUGUAGCACCCUCCGGGGUGUGUUAUAGCCCGUCGCGUAAUGCCCUGGGGCGGACUGAGGAACGCGC
Molecule: ribosomal RNA, 844 nt
Filed under: uncultured Hypocreales
Lineage: Eukaryota; Fungi; Ascomycota; Sordariomycetes; Hypocreales
Description: eukaryotic LSU rRNA
Rfam family: Eukaryotic large subunit ribosomal RNA (bases 257-844)
Source: RNAcentral